Molecule: ribosomal RNA, 441 nt
Filed under: uncultured bacterium
Lineage: Bacteria
Description: partial 16S ribosomal RNA
Rfam family: Bacterial small subunit ribosomal RNA
Source: RNAcentral
CCUACGGGAGGCAGCAGUGGGGGAUAUUGCACAAUGGGGGGAACCCUGAUGCAGCGACGCCGCGUGGGUGAAGGAGCGUUUCGGCGCGUAAAGCCCUAUCGGCAGGGAAGAAGGAGGACGGUACCUGACUAAGAAGCCCCGGCUAACUACGUGCCAGCAGCCGCGGUAAUACGUAGGGGGCAAGCGUUAUCCGGAUUUACUGGGUGUAAAGGGAGCGUAGACGGAAUAGCAAGUCUGAUGUGAAAACCCGGGGCUCAACUCCGGGAGUGCAUUGGAAACUGUUGAUCUAGAGUGUCGGAGAGGCAAGCGGAAUUCCUAGUGUAGCGGUGAAAUGCGUAGAUAUUAGGAGGAACACCAGUGGCGAAGGCGGCUUGCUGGACGAUGACUGACGUUGAGGCUCGAAAGCGUGGGGAGCAAACAGGAUUAGAUACCCGUGUAGUC